Molecule: ribosomal RNA, 301 nt
Filed under: uncultured bacterium
Lineage: Bacteria
Description: bacterial SSU rRNA
Rfam family: Bacterial small subunit ribosomal RNA
Source: RNAcentral
GGAUUAGAUACCCUGGUAGUCCACGCCGUAAACGAUGAUCACUAGAUGUUAGGUCCGAUUCAGGGCUUGGUGUCGCAGCUAACGCGUUAAGUGAUCCGCCUGGGAAGUACGGUCGCAAGAUUAAAACUUAAAGGAAUUGACGGGGGUCCGCACAAGCGGUGGAACAUGUGGUUUAAUUCGAUACUACGCGAGGAACCUUACCUAGGCUUGACAUGCUUUUGACCGCAAUGGAAACAUGGCUUUCUAAGCUUCGGUUUAGACAAUUGCACAGGUGCUGCAUGGCUGUCGUCAGCUCGUGUCG